AAAUAGGUUUGAACACCAUGUCCCAAGUGACUGUAACGGUCACAGCUUAUACCUCGUCAAGACUUUUUCCUGCUGGUCUUGCAGCAGCUGCAGCGUUAGCUCCUUGGGGGUCCGGGCAGAAGAGGGGCAUGGCCUACCCAGGGCCCCAGCUCACUGGAAGGAGCCUGUGGGUCUGGUCUGGGCCCCAGCCACGCUCCACCAGGUCCUUGGGGACCUCGUGUGCCUGCUGUGGCCGCCUCUGCUGGGCAGACAGACCCCUUUUUAGACGUCAAUCCCGAGAAGCCUCCAGGACACGGCUGCAGAUGCCCCGUCGUUCCAGGGUGAUGGUCAUUCCAGGGUGAUGGCCGGGGCUGUGGACACCACCACCCCAUGGGGGAUAGCGGGCUGUUUGUUGGCCUCCAGGCAGGACAUUCCAGAGGUGGGGGCCAUGCCAGCAACCUCAGGGCCUCCGAGAGAUGGCAGGGCUGGCACCCGCCCUGCGGGCACUGUCCCUGUCCCAGGUGUGGGUGGGGCCUGGUGGCUGAAUUUCCCUUUCACUUUAAACUCACGGGAAAGUCUCCUGCUUUUCUGCCCUUUGGGCAAGUUCUCACUUACGCGGCCAUGUGAGCAAAUGGACAUUUUUAAAAGGGAUUCAUAGCAACUCCCAGACAUGUCCUCAUUUCACAAUGCCGGGGGAAGGUGAUUAGAUGAGCUUUUGCAUCUUUGACUCUACUGUGACGGAAUUAUCCUGAGAUUGUGCAGAAACACCCGCAGGAAUUCACGGGUGUUACAAACAGUGCAAACCUAAUGGGGCUUCACUACCCACAAGGGGAGGCUGGACAGAGCCGUCGGGCCCAGAGGCUGUGAACGUGAGCUUGGCCUUUGGGCCUGUGUCUGGGAGCCGGUGUUCACAGAAGCCCUUUGUGCAGCACAGAUGGAGAUGUGGGGAGGUGUUUACCAUUCCUGGGCCCAGGGCAGGCUCACUUUAGGAAUUUCUGCCGCUCCUCUAAUCCAGAGCCUUCUCUCCACACCCAGGGUCCGGGAGGUGCCGCAGGCCCUAAGGGAGACCAGGGUAUUGCAGGUUCCGACGGUCUUCCUGGGGAUAAAGGAGAACUGGGUCCCAGCGGCCUGGUCGGACCCAAAGGAGAGUCUGGCAGUCGAGGGGAGCUGGGCCCCAAAGGCACCCAGGGUCCCAACGGCACCAGCGGUGUUCAGGGUGUCCCCGGGCCCCCCGGUCCUCUGGGCCUGCAGGGCGUCCCGGGUGUUCCUGGCAUCACGGGGAAGCCGGGAGUUCCGGGGAAGGAGGCCAGCGAGCAGCGCAUCAGGGAGCUGUGUGGGGGGAUGAUCAGCGAACAAAUUGCACAGUUAGCCGCGCACCUAAGGAAGCCUUUGGCACCCGGGUCCAUUGGCCGGCCCGGUCCAGCUGGCCCCCCUGGGCCCCCAGGACCCCCAGGCUCCAUUGGUCACCCUGGCGCUCGAGGACCCCCCGGAUACCGCGGUCCCACUGGGGAGCUGGGAGACCCCGGGCCCAGAGGAAACCAGGGUGACAGAGGAGACAAAGGCACGGCAGGAGCAGGGCUGGACGGGCCUGAAGGAGACCAGGGGCCCCAAGGACCCCAAGGCGUGCCCGGCACCAGCAAGGACGGCCAGGACGGUGCUCCCGGCGAGCCUGGGCCUCCCGGAGAUCCUGGGCUUCCAGGUGCCAUUGGGGCCCAGGGGACACCGGGGAUCUGCGACACCUCAGCCUGCCAAGGAGCCGUGUUAGGAGGGGUCGGGGAAAAAUCAGGCUCUAGAAGCUCAUAAAAUUCAACGUGAGGAAGCAAGUGACAAGGACGCCUGAAGCACGGUGGACGGUCAUGAAGGAGCGGGGGUGUGGCAGGCGGGUGACGUCCAGGAGAGGGAGCGCCCCUGGCUGCCCCUCGGCCGCCGACUGGACGCGCGGGCCCUGCCAGCGAGCACCCUCAUCGGGCUGUCGCCUGACAGCAUACCUCAAAAGGCCCUAGCUAAUAAACCUGUAAGCCCAGCAUUUGAGAGAAGGUAGGGUGUGUAUAUAUAAAAGGUGUACAACUCCACGAGGUGAAAAAUAUUCAGUAACUUGUUUACAUAGCAUUUGUGUAAAGACUAUGAUCUCAUCCCAAUAAAAUGAUAUAUUAAAUCUUCAGAUUAAUGACUGGCUACAGAGUAACAAAAAAUAAAGAAUUUAAUGUACAGU
RNAcentral lists this small RNA (2191 nucleotides) under Pan troglodytes (chimpanzee). RNAcentral's name for it is "retained intron". The record is from RNAcentral. Lineage: Eukaryota; Metazoa; Chordata; Mammalia; Primates; Hominidae.